AUUCUUCGGAAGGAAGCUCAAGUGACUGAGUGGCGGACGGGUGAGUAACGCGUGGGUAACCUGCCUCAUACAGGGGGAUAACAGUUAGAAAUGACUGCUAAUACCGCAUAAGCACACGUGAUCGCAUGAUCGAGUGUGAAAAACUCCGGUGGUAUGGGAUGGACCCGCGUCUGAUUAGCUAGUUGGUGGGGUAACGGCCCACCAGGGCGACGAUCAGUAGCCGGCCUGAGAGGGUGAACGGCCACAUUGGGACUGAGACACGGCCCAAACUCCUACGGGAGGCAGCAGUGGGGAAUAUUGCACAAUGGGGGAAACCCUGAUGCAGCGACGCCGCGUGAAGGAUGAAGUAUUUCGGUAUGUAAACUUCUAUCAGCAGGGAAGAAAAUGACGGUACCUGACUAAGAAGCCCCGGCUAACUACGUGCCAGCAGCCGCGGUAAUACGUAGGGGGCAAGCGUUAUCCGGAUUUACUGGGUGUAAAGGGAGCGUAGACGGCAGUGCAAGUCUGAAGUGAAAGCCCGGGGCUCAACCCCGGGACUGCUUUGGAAACUGUGCAGCUAGAGUGUCGGAGAGGCAAGCGGAAUUCCUAGUGUAGCGGUGAAAUGCGUAGAUAUUAGGAGGAACACCAGUGGCGAAGGCGGCUUGCUGGACG
Molecule: ribosomal RNA, 651 nt
Filed under: uncultured Lachnospiraceae bacterium
Lineage: Bacteria; Bacillati; Bacillota; Clostridia; Lachnospirales; Lachnospiraceae
Description: bacterial SSU rRNA
Rfam family: Bacterial small subunit ribosomal RNA
Source: RNAcentral